CCUACGGGAGGCAGCAGGGAGGAAUAGUGGUCAAUGGGCGCGAGCCGGAACCAGCCAAGUAGCGGGAAGGAUGACUGCCCUACGGGUGGUAAACUGCUUUUAUAAAGGAAUAAAGUGAGGCACGUGUGCCUUUUUGUACGUACUUUAUGAAUAAGGAUCGGCUAACUCCGUGCCAGCAGCCGCGGUAAUACGGAGGAUCCGAGCGUUAUCCGGAUUUAUUGGGUUUAAAGGGAGCGUAGAUGUGUUGUUAAGUCAGUUGUGAAAGUUUGCGGCUCAACCGUAAAAUUGCAAUUGAUACUGGCAGUCUUGAGUACAGUUGAGGUCGGCGGAAUUCGUGGUGUAGCGGU
Molecule: ribosomal RNA, 347 nt
Filed under: uncultured bacterium
Lineage: Bacteria
Description: partial 16S ribosomal RNA
Rfam family: Bacterial small subunit ribosomal RNA
Source: RNAcentral